RNAcentral lists this transfer RNA (65 nucleotides) under Lasioglossum fulvicorne. RNAcentral describes it as "tRNA-Arg". Lineage: Eukaryota; Metazoa; Arthropoda; Insecta; Hymenoptera; Halictidae. The record is from RNAcentral.
UUAUAUAAAGUAAAAUUUACAUUUAAUUUCGACUUAACUUUAGGGUAUUAAUUACCAUAUAUAAA